CAGGCAUCCCUAUAAUGGUCUUCUAAAAAGAUUUAACAUCAACAAAGAAAAUAACACAUACUAGUUUUCUUUAGCUACUGUAACAAAUUAUAAAUUUGGUGGUUUAGAACAUCACACAUUUAUUCUCUCAUGGUUCUGGGGGCCAGAAGUUCAAAAUCGGUUUCUCUGGGCUAAUAUGAAGAUGUCACAGGGCUGUGCUGUCUCUGGAGCUUCCGAGGAAGAAACUGUUUGCUGGCUUUUUCCAGCCUUGGGUGGCUGCUGGCAUCUCUUGGUUCAUGGCCCCUUCCUCUCUCUGCAAAGCCAUCGGUUUAGCAUCUUCACAUCUCCCUCUUUUUCUGUCAUCCUCACACCUCGUCCUUUCUCUUCUAUGACAAAUAUCUCCUGCUCCCUCUUAGAAGGACACUUGUGAUAGCAUUUAGGGCCCCCUGGAUAAUCCAUGAUAGUCUCCCCCCGACACAAGAUCCUUAAUUUCAUCCCAUCUACCAAGACCCUUUUUCCUUGUAAGAUAAUAUUCAAAGACUCCAGGGAUUAUGACGUGGGUAUCUUUGGGGUCAUUAUUCAAAGUUCAAAAAAUAGUUUGCUAAAUGAUAAUAAUAGUAGUAGUAGUAGUAAUAAUAAUAACAAUACAGUGCAUACUAUGUGCUGGAUGCUCUAUUAAGCAUAUCGGGGUAUGGGUGUGUAUGUAAUCAUUUGUUUCUCAUUUUGAGGAUUUUUUACUGAGGCCUAUUAGGAAAUGCAAGAGACCCUUUGGGCUACCUACAUCACCCACUUCAAUCUUGUACUGGUAAAAUAAUUUAGUUAUUUUAGUAAUAGGAAUGAAAAGUUAUUAUUAAAGAAGUUUACAGAGAAAAAGGGAAGUAGAAGGAUUGUCUACCCAUUUGGGCUUCCAAUAGGAGUACAAUCAUUUAAACUUGAAAUGCACUGUGCAUUUAUCUCAAAGUAUAAUCACUGGAAGGUUGUAAGCCCCCAAAAUGUGGUCGAUGCAACAACUUAACGAUACAUAAGUUAAUUAGACAGGCGACGAUAAACCAUGUGGACAGCAAGGAAGCUAAACUAAUGGGAAUUGAUGGCUCCAAGAACAAAAAGAGCCAGUGUGGAAACUAUAACAAUCUUCUAAUAACACUAAUGACAAGAUGUGCUUCCCGAGCACAGCAGAGGUUCCACCCGGUACCUGUGGGGGGCAUGGGCAGCAGGAACUUCUGUGGAGUCACAAGCAUCGCCUAGCAACCAGUCCACUGAAUUACAUACAGUCUUUCAUAAGCUGUAGAAUUACGAUAAUUUUUACUACCAACACUGGCUUUUAUUAAUUCUCAGAGGCUCACUGUAAUUAGCAAGUCUCGAUAAUAAUGAUGACGAGACUUACAUAUUUGAGCCCUUACUGUGUGGAGACUAUGGAGCUAAACUAGUGCAGAUUAAUUUCUUAAUCUCCUCUGGAUAGGGAUUAUGAAUCUGAGGCACAGCGAAAUCAAGUAGCUUGCUCCAAGGUACACAUGCCUAAAAAGCAAGGGAACUGGGGGAGGAUCUCAGGCAGCCCCUAAGAGUAAGAAUCAAAGGCUAUGGAAUAGUUUGGGCCAAUCUUUGAGAAUCAUUGUUCUAGGCAUUUAGGCUGCUGCUGCUUCCGGGGUUGAUGUACGUAACUAUAAGCAAUUUUUUGACCUCUACGGAAGCCACCUUAGGAUUUGAUUUUAGUUAUCGUUUGCCUAUAGUUUUCCUCCCUGAAAUUGUCAGCUCCUGGAGAGCAGACAAGUCAACUUGUUCUUUUGUUUUCUAUGGACCCUAGAGAAAUGUGUAGCAUGUCUUAAUGGCUCAAAGUAGGUCAACACUCUUCCUUUGACGGUUUCACAAAGUGGAGCUGACCACUGUAUUUUACGUCUCUGCUGAUGUCCAACAUUUUAUUUUAGUAAACAUGUAGCCAGCACUAGCCUCAGUCAUGGGGGAGAGGGGUGAUAAAUGCAUGUGUGACCCUCCCCGCUCUGGAAGUUUGCAUCCAAUGGGGGAGACAGAUGUUGAAAGAGCCAUUGGUCUGACACACGAAGAGCUGCCAUCCGACCAUGCCAUAAGGGUGCUACUUCUAAAGGAAGAUUCAGGGAAGGACUUGGGCCGCUACGACCUGGGUGUUGUAAGGAGAGCGCGGAGCCACCCCCGUGGGCACAGGCUGCAUUUCAGCCCCCGAGGGCUGUUCCCACCUCCGCGGGCGCGGUGGGGCAGUUCUGGUUUCCACCUGCGAAGCGAGCCUGCAUGGGAAGCAGGCUGGCGAGCAGAGGGUACUACGGCCCAGUGGGUCCUGGUGGGUCCCAACGUGUAUGAUGACAACCUGCCUCCUGCAGGUGCCAGAGCAGGAAUAAAUAAGUAAAAUCUUUUAAAAGCAAACACACCAAAAAACCCAAACCCCCCUAAACGGAAAGGUGGUUUUCCUGCAACUUUUCAGCACAGCAGCAAGAAGGCGAGGUUUGGGUGACCUCAGGCUGCGUGGGGGGAGCAGGACAGAGGAGCCGCUGCCACCAGGUCCCCACAGGAGCAGCGACAGUGGGACAGGUUCCAGGCCACGAUGCUCCAGGGUUUCUCCCCACCCCACCCACCCGGCCACAGGGUCACUCGUGGUUACUUGCAUCUUAGGACUUGGUGCCUGUGUCCUGGGGCUGGUUCCUUCUGGAUUCGGGCUGUUGUCCCCGCUUCCUAGAGCCCCUGGGUGUUGGCCAAGGAGCCUUGGCAGGAGGAGGUGGUUCUCACGCUGGGAGCCUGUCCCUCUAGGGGCUCAGUUCCCCCGGGGAGUGGCUGCGGGUCAGCCCAGGGGUCCCGUGCAGGAGCUGCGAUAGGUGUGAUCAGCAGCAUCUUGAAAGUGGGGAUACCACCCCGUAGCCCAGGAAUUGUGCUCGGGGCCAUCUCGGUGGUCAGCGGCGGACGGAGAUUCGAGUCCAGCUUCAGCAGACUCUAAAGCCAUCAGUGAUUUCUUAGAAAACUUGUGAGUGUGGCCACAUCGUCCCCAUCACAUGACAGAUCGUCCGUAAGGUAGGCCUACCAUGGAAAGCAUCUUCGAGUGCGUGGAUUCGUGGCCUGGGCUCCGUGCACCCGCCUUCCGAACCUUUCACCUUCCCAAACUAAAACUCUGCACCCACUGAAGAGUAACCCUUAACCCCCUGUGUCCCCCACCCCUGGAAACCACCAUCCUACUCCUGUCUCUAUGGAUUUCACUGUCCUAGUUCUCUCCCACCAGGGGAGCUGCACGGUGCUCGGCCUUUUGCAUCUGGCUCAUUCACCCAGCCCCACGCCGAAGCCGGGGCAUCCGGGGGGACUCCUUCCUCCUAAAGGCCCACUGACACUCCCAGGGCGCCCGUAGGCCUCGUCUGCCGCUGGGCACCCGGCCUGCCACCCUGGUUCUCGGGAGUCAUGUUGCUGUGAGCCCCGCCGCAGCUCUCUAGGUUGGGUCCUUAAGGUCACGCAGCUCUUCCCACACGGCUGGGAGCCCACCGCAGCCUGUCUGUAACCCAGAGCAUCCCCACGGGGCACGAGAGGAAAGAGGAAGGAGCUUCGUUACCCCCCCAACGACUCCCCAACAGAACAGGGGCCACUGGCGUUGCCCCCAUCGCACCUGGUCAUGAAAACAGAAGCCACAGUUCUUCUCACGGUCGCCGACCUCCCAAACAAGAUCUCAUGUUUGAAGUACCGGAGGUUGGGACUUCAACAUGUGAAUCCGAGGGAGCACACGACUCAACACAUGAUAGUGCCCUUGGAGAACUGCUCAAGAGCUCAUUCCUUCACGAUGGGGACAAGAGGAAUGGCUAUUCCACUGCACUUUUGUAAAACUGAGAUGGGUUGAUAGAGAAUGGGAGAGCACAAAGGCAGAGGACAAAGGAGAAGCAGGCUUCCCACAGAGCAGGGAGCCCAACGCGGGGCUCCAUCCCAGGACCCUGGCCGGGAUCAUGACCUGAGCUGAAGGCAGACGCUCAACCUACUGAGCCACCCAGGUGCCCCCCAAAGUUGCUUUAAUAAUAGUACUUAGCGAUUAUUGUUAUUUAUUAAAAGUCUUAUUUAAUAAUUUAAAAAUAUUUGUUAGGGCGCCUGGCUGGCUCAGUCAGUAGAGUGUGAAG
Long non-coding RNA from Canis lupus familiaris (dog), 4088 nucleotides. RefSeq lists it as uncharacterized. The record is from RefSeq and is a predicted model, not a curated record. The transcript has 4 exons. Lineage: Eukaryota; Metazoa; Chordata; Mammalia; Carnivora; Canidae.